Molecule: long non-coding RNA, 481 nt
Filed under: Trifolium pratense (red clover)
Lineage: Eukaryota; Viridiplantae; Streptophyta; Magnoliopsida; Fabales; Fabaceae
Description: long non-coding RNA (TPRA_LNC006470)
Source: RNAcentral
CGUUGCUUCCACACAAGGUCUCCAUAGCCAUACCACUUUGGUGUACCUCCACCUCAAACCGAGAUUCCUCCACCAAAGCCUUAAACCGGUAUAUCCACUAUGACCUCCACCUUGUAACCGAGUAUUAUCCCACCGCCUCUCCAGGCCGAUGUUGAGUAUUCUUCCACCGCCUCUCCAGGCCGACCUUGUUCUUCACCAUCGCGAUCUCCAUUAGAUUUUUACCUCCGAGGCACCGGAUAACAACACGUCGUGUUUUAUCCAUCAUCCCGAACCUUAAAAUUGCUCUUGCUCCCAUCUUCACUUUCCACAAUUCCAAAUUGUUUCCGGAAAGUCCCUCGAUAACCCAUUUUGAAUCCAUGGUACUUAAUCCAAUUAACCCUUUGCCCCACGGUGGGCGCCAAUUGUUGUGAAUUCGGAUCGAAAACCACACAAAUAAUACUUUUGAUGUGUGGGACAAAUGAAUUGAAGCAACCAAAACAAA